Molecule: ribosomal RNA, 514 nt
Filed under: uncultured bacterium
Lineage: Bacteria
Description: bacterial SSU rRNA
Rfam family: Bacterial small subunit ribosomal RNA
Source: RNAcentral
AUGCAGCACGCCGCGUGAGGGAUGACGGCCUUCGGGUUGUAAACCUCUUUUAGCAGGGAAGAAGCGAAAGUGACGGUACCUGCAGAAAAAGCGCCGGCUAACUACGUGCCAGCAGCCGCGGUAAUACGUAGGGCGCAAGCGUUAUCCGGAAUUAUUGGGCGUAAAGAGCUCGUAGGCGGUUUGUCGCGUCUGCUGUGAAAACCCGAGGCUCAACCUCGGGCCUGCAGUGGGUACGGGCAGACUAGAGUGCGGUAGGGGAGAUUGGAAUUCCUGGUGUAGCGGUGGAAUGCGCAGAUAUCAGGAGGAACACCGAUGGCGAAGGCAGAUCUCUGGGCCGUAACUGACGCUGAGGAGCGAAAGGGUGGGGAGCAAACAGGCUUAGAUACCCUGGUAGUCCACCCCGUAAACGUUGGGAACUAGUUGUGGGGUCCAUUCCACGGAUUCCGUGACGCAGCUAACGCAUUAAGUUCCCCGCCUGGGGAGUACGGCCGCAAGGCUAAAACUCAAAGGAAUU